GCCCACAUAGCUCAGUUAGAAGAGCGCAUUCUUGGUAAGAAUGAGGCCUGCAGUGCAAAUCUGCAUGUGGGCUCCG
This 76-nucleotide transfer RNA is filed under the name bacterium (Candidatus Gribaldobacteria) CG08_land_8_20_14_0_20_39_15. RNAcentral's name for it is "tRNA-Thr". The record is from RNAcentral. Lineage: Bacteria; Candidatus Gribaldobacteria.